RNAcentral lists this long non-coding RNA (1138 nucleotides) under Macaca mulatta (Rhesus monkey). RNAcentral's name for it is "lncRNA (ENSMMUG00000056438.1)". Lineage: Eukaryota; Metazoa; Chordata; Mammalia; Primates; Cercopithecidae. The record is from RNAcentral.
CCUCCUGGGUUCAUGCCAUUCUCCUGCCUCAGCCUCCCGAAUAGCUGGGACUACAGGCACCUGCCACCUCGCCCAGCUAAUUUUUUUUUUUUUUGUAUUUUUAGUAGAGACAGCAUUUCACCGUAUUAGCCAGGAUGGUCUCGAUCUCCUGACCUAGUGAUCCACCCGCCUCAGCCUCCCAAAGUGCUGGGAUUACAGGUGUGAACCACCGCACCUGGCCCAACUUUUUCUUUCUUUUAAAAUGAUUGUUCAUAAAGUUAAAGAAAUGAAGAAAAACAUCAGAUGACUGAGAAAAGAUGUCGAAAUGACACACAAGGAAGACCGAUUUGCUACCAGGAUGGAGAACGUGGGUGAAGCGUGAGAUGACCCACCCCCCAGAACGUGGAGGCACCAGGGACACAGUGGGCCUCAUCUGUGACUUUCUGACCAGACUGAAAUGCACUGGCUUGUCUUUGCACAGGAGAGCCACUGGCCAAGUUGGACAGGAAUCUGGUUGUGCCCUAGUGGGUGAGGAAGAAGAGGCUGUUCUAAUCCCCCAUCCACAGGUGGGAAGACUGAGGCCAAGGGCUCACACUUCAGCAUCACGAGCAUCACCUGCAGGGCUUGGAAAUCACAGAUCAGUGGUCCCCAUCCUUCUGCACACCUGAGGACCCUUACAAAUUAAUGCUAUCUUGUUCCACCCCAAACAGGUGCUUUAACUGGCACUUGGCAUGAUGUGGGCACUGGACAGGCGAUUAAAGUCUUCCCAGUUAAUGCUAACGUGCAGCAAAGUUGUAUUGUGCGAACUUGGAGUAUUGUCCCCACCCCAGAGUUGCUGGGCUGAAGCCUGGGAAUUUGCAGUUGUAACAUGUUCCCAGGUGGUGCUGACAUUGCUGGUCUGGAGGCCAUACGUUGGUAGCCCCUGGGCAAGGGCGCCCUGGCAGAGGUUGGAGGGAAUCUGGUUCCCGGUGUCAUGUGAGGGAUGUGGUCAUCAGUGAUGCAGCUUGAACUGGGGCAGGUCUGGAACUUUGAUGUAGGAAGGACCACAAUUCACUUUUCAAGCCUUCUCCUGGAAGGUGCAAUCUUUAGAAUAGACUCUAAUGUUUCAAAAUGAUCACAUCAGACAGGUUUGGCGAACACAUUUGUUUUCUUGGUGGAG